CUGGCCUCGAAUCGGGCGGGAUUACCCGCUGAACUUAAGCAUAUCAAUAAGCGGAGGAAAAGAAACUAACAAGGAUUCCCCUAGUAACGGCGAGUGAAGCGGGAAGAGCUCAAAUUUGAAAUCUGGCGGUCCACGGCCGUCCGAGUUGUAUUCUGUAGAGGCGUCUUCCGUGCCGGACCGCGUACAAGUCCCUUGGGAUGGGGCGUCGUAGAGGGUGAGAAUCCCGUUCGCGACGCGGACUUCCGGUGCCCUGUGAUGCGCCUUCUAAGAGUCGAGUUGUUUGGGAAUGCAGCUCAAAUCGGGUGGUAAAUUCCAUCUAAAGCUAAAUAUUGGCGAGAGACCGAUAGCGAACAAGUACCGUGAGGGAAAGAUGAAAAGCAGGUUGGAAAGAGAGUAAACAGACUGAAAUUG
Molecule: ribosomal RNA, 411 nt
Filed under: Auriculariales sp. TpCO22
Lineage: Eukaryota; Fungi; Basidiomycota; Agaricomycetes; Auriculariales
Description: eukaryotic LSU rRNA
Rfam family: Eukaryotic large subunit ribosomal RNA
Source: RNAcentral